GAUCGCUCGGGCUCAAUGAAGUAAUAAGAAAGGCGGCGGAGCGCGGCUGGGCCCGCGCCAGGGGGGAGGGGGAGAGCCCCGCUCCGGUCCUGAGGAGAGGAGGAAGAGCGGCGGAUGGUUGCUGCGCGAGUUCUCGCUCUUGGUGAAAAAAUCUCUCUUCUCUGGAAAUUCAUUUCCAUUUACUUAAAGUUAAAUGGUUUGACUUUGAAUUUUCAUUAUCUGCUGUUGGAAGGAGCCUGUGACAGGCAUUAGCAACAUAGUGGAUGAAGAUUUUCUGGACACUGAAGGAACAAACCUUAUACAGAAGAAAAAGCAAGAGAACUUCUUCAAAUUAUUGUUUCUCUUGAUAAGCAUCUUGCACUGCGGGGAAAAGCUCCUACAGGUUUUCCAGGUUUUUUUCACUUAAUAUAGAUUUUGCCUUUUUAGUUUGGAACACGAGAAUAUGUGAGUUUAUACAAAAAGAUGUUAUAAUAAUGGCAACAGUAUCUGUAGAGCGAGAGAAGUUAUUUUUAAUUGAAACUCGUAAUAAUAAUUUUCUCCUCAAUUUUCAAUUUUUGCAACAAUUUUGUGGAAAUAAUUAUUUUGUUUCAAAGCCUGUAGUUUCAUGGGAAGUUUCAGCAUUAAAAAUAUAAAAGUAAAACCAACUUUGUUUAACUUGACUAAAGCUGUCAUAAGGUACAACUAACCAUGAAUCUUUUGGUGAGACAGGAUAGCAGUAGUUCAUCCAGUAUUCAGAUGUAACCACUGAAUUAAUUAAAAAGUUAAAAAUCUGUCUUGAAUGUUUCACAGUCCAUUGUAUUCUCUAUGUUUUCAAUUCAUUACCUUAUUUUAUGUGCAUCUUGUCUUUCAAUAUAUGCCAACAAAGUACAGCAACUAGAUUUUUCUAGGAUAUACUAUAAUUUAUUACUGCUGGACUUUUGAUUCUAAUGAGUUUUACUGAACUGUUUUGAGCUUAUAGAGGAGUACAAGGAUGAAGAACUACAUAAUAGAGAAGACACAUUAUGCAAAAAGAAGUUUUAAAUUAAUAAAAUGAUUAAAGCCGACAUAUCAGACACCUGAAGUAGAAAAAAAAUUAACAUUUUCUUGAACUAAGUUAUGGACUAAAAACAUGUACUUCGGUGUUUUUG
Molecule: long non-coding RNA, 1127 nt
Organism: Tympanuchus pallidicinctus (lesser prairie-chicken)
Lineage: Eukaryota; Metazoa; Chordata; Aves; Galliformes; Phasianidae
Exons: 4
Source: RefSeq, a predicted model, not a curated record